GUGCUUGAUAAGAAGCAGUGUGGACAACUCUAAAGGACACUGGAAGGGAAGAGGAAGGAAGUACAUUGGUUCUUCAGGAGGCGGGGGAUGCAAUGGACAGGAGAAGUAGCAGUGACAUGGUACCCUCUUGACUCUUGCAAACAAAAUCUACCCUGGUUACCACAAAUGCUUUUCUCCAUGCCUUUGCUUUUGAAAGUAUUAGCUACAAGGAUGAGUCUGGGAUCCCAAGUGGACACUGUGGUGAAAAGCAUGGCUGCUUCUGGAAAGAACUCAGAUGAAGAGAAGGAGGGCCCAUCCUAACUCAGAGUACCUCAUCACAAAUUGGAUUGCAGAGAACUCAAAUGAAGAGGACAAGCAAACUCAGGAAUGUGGAGCACCCAUCAUCUGCCAUGGUCAAGGAGAUAAUCUGUGGAGAGAGAGAGAAAACAGAUGGAGAGAGCUGCACACGCAGAGAUCCACGAGGCUCCUGAGAAUAAACAAGAAUCUCUUGGCUUCUCAAGAGCCUUCCAGACUUUCCUCCUUAUGUUUGGGAGUUUUCCUGACUGCCCUCCUUGACCUUGGUCAGCAAGGACACUUAUAAACUUGGCGGUGUGGGGGGUGUGUGUGUGUGUGUGUGUGUGUGUAGUGGGGAAGGUCAUGAGAUUUAAGCCAGUUUCUAUUAUUUUUUUUUUGUCUUUUGUCUUUUUAUGGCCACACCCAUGGCAUAUGGAGGUUCCCAGGCUAGGGGUCUAAUUGGAGCUGUAGCUGCUGGCCUACGCCACAGCCACAGCAACACGGGAUCUGAGCUGUGUCUGUGACCUACAGCACAGCCCACAGCAACACUGGAUGCUUAACCCACUGAGCAAGGCCAGGGAUUGAACCCGCAACUUCAUGGUUCCUAGUCGGAUUCAUUAACCAUUGAGCCACAAUGGGAACUCCUGAGUUUCUACUCUUCAUAUACAUAAAGUUCCUAAAGCAUAUUGGUAAUACUUUUCUAUUUUAAUUGAACUUUGGUAUUUACUCUAUCAUUUUCCAAUGGAUGUGGCAUCAACUUAACAUUCUCUAGCCUCUCCUUUCAUUAUUACCUGGCCCCUAAAUAACUUUUGCCCCCACUUCUUGUCCCUCUUCCUCCUUUUGGGGCUCCACCAUCUUUGCCUCUGCUCAGCUAUUUCUUCAACUUCAUCCUUAUUCCUAGAUGUUCUAGGCAAUCUCCUACUCAACUCAAAGCUCAACAAAAUAUCUCUUCCUCUGUAAUGUCUUUCUGAAUAAUUCAGGAAAGAUGAAUCAUUUUGCUGUUUAUAUUCACACAGUAUUUUAUUUGCCUUUAAUAUAUUAUGUUAUCAUUAGUGGUUAAAGUGUUUCCCUCAAGGGUAGAGACUGGGUAUCCCUCUCUAUUACUUAUCUUUUAUCACCAUCAUGUAGGACGGCACCAGGAGGGGAAUAAUAAGUGCUCAGAAAAAAAAAUAUAUGUUUUGUAUGAAUGGACUCAGGAAAUAUCACAGCAAAUAUGUGUAUGUGAUGUUUUGUGAAUUCUAGAAAUAAAGUAUGUCAUCCAAGAGUGGUAUAAAUACAUAUAUAUUAUAAGAAUUCCAUAUAGCAUAAGGUACUAAGGAUAAUCAGCAAAUAUAGUGGUUAAUGAAAAAUACCACCAUUAAGGAAUACAUUAAAAUGAAGUUUUGUAAGAACCAAAAAUCAGACUAAAGUUUUCCUUCCUUUUUUUCUUAUAAAAGUAAAAUAUUGAAGAUAAACAGCAUAAAAGAUUAAUUUUUUGGACUAGAUCUAUUUAUUUAAGAUAGAAGAAAGAUUCAUUGAUCAUACUAUUAAGAAAUACGCAUAUUUUCAUGUGCAUGUGUGUAGUAAGGUUUUAAAAUACAAUGUACCCAUUAUUUUCCUCAAAUUCAGGCAAAAGUGUUCUUAAGGACUUACUUUCACUUGUUUUAUUAUUAGGAACAUAGUACAUUUGGUGAUUAUAUAUAGUUUCAUUAUUAAAAUAUAUUAUAUAAUACAUAAUAAAAUAAAAACAUACAGUGGUUUUAAUCAUUAGAUACGUAUUCUAGGAAAAAACUCAAUUCUAUUAAUGCUUUCUCGCUCUGCCUAUUCCUGGCAAGCAGGAACAUCACAGAACAUUCCACACUGGUAGCCAGGUGAUCUAGGCCUGGCCCAUCAGCCUACUUCAAUUUGCAACUCAGGCUUCUUCUUAACUCUUUCCUACUUAAGUCUGAAGGUUGUUGUGAAGAUAAAAUAGGAUAAUGCUCAUGCUAGUUCUUUGAAAAGUAUAAAGCACUAUAUAAAUGGAAGACGUUAUUGUAAAAGGGAGUUUAAAACUAUAGCAUAAAAAGACGUUAUAAAAAUAAAAUAAAAGUGACUCUAGUCACUUAUUUUUAUGAGGUACUUUUCUCUCUUUGGAAAAAUAUAAUUUACUAAUUCAAGAGAGAGCUAUUAAUUUCUCAGUCCUUCACAGCCAUUAAAGCAGGGAUGAUGACUUCAAUUCAGUUUACAAAUGGAGUGGGCAUACUGCAGGGGAAUGCUACUCUCAGGUUACAUAUAAAUGGAAUUAAAUUAAAUUAAUGAAAAGAGAAGAAAAGCAUGUGUAUAUAAACAACUAACUCAUCCCCUAUGAGGCCCAAUCAUUGUCUGAAAUGAGGCAUCAGUUAAAAUAUCUUUACUUUUGCACAUCUCUUUCCUGUACUUCUCCAGAUUUCAUUUGGGAAUUAUUUCUAAAAUACCUGUACUUCUCCAGAUUUCAUUUGGAAAUUAUUUCUAAAAUAUUAUUAAUAAAAAUAAUAUCCGUAUGACACUUUUAACACUUCGAAUAAAAUUAUCAUCAGGUUUUAAAUUCAGUGGGGUAUAGUGAGCCUCUAUGUACCUGCAAUGAUAUGUCCAUGAGAGUACUUAACAAUUUUGUAUGUCUCCAGAAUUCAUAAGGCAAAUCACCCAAUGUCAGAAAAUCAUCUUGGUAAAUGCGGAAAACUGAACUCAUGGCCAUAGAUACUUUUAAUUAGAUAAGAAUUGUCUCUAUACUUUGAUUUUUGACUAUUAUAUCAAAUCUCUUUGGGCUUUUUAAUAAUUUCCAAAAUACAAUGAUAGAUCAAAAUGUAGAGUAUAAGAAAAGGAAAACAAUUUUUUAAACGGCAUGAAGCUUCAUUUGUUUGUUCUGUAAGUUAUCAUCUGAUACAACCUUCCUGAUGAUUAGUGAUAAUCUGCUGCUGACAAUAAAUCUUGCUGGGUUAGAGAUGAGGGAUAUCUCUGAAUGACCUUAGGGAAAUCUAUGAACAUUUCUAAGACCCAGGUUCUUUACUGGCAGAAUGAAGGAAUUGAUACUUAAUUUUCAAGCUCUUUGUAAUUCUUGAGAGGGUCAAUAGUUAAAAAUCAAAUGAGAUAAAUGUUCAUAAAUGUAGUUAUUAUUAAUAUGCCUUGACAUUGUAUAAAUAUAUGUGAAAUGGCAUAUUUCUUGUGGGGGGCAGACUUGGGGCAUAACAUAGGCUCUCUAUACAUAGCAGUCUUUGUCAUGUUUUUAUUGAUAAUUUGUAUGAGGAUAAAGAAUUCAUUAAUAGAAUCUGCUAAUGGCAUAAAAAUAAGAGUAUCAGAAAUGAGAUACCUGAAUCGAUUCCCCAAAUGAAUUCAAAUUAAGGAGAUGAAACUUACAAAGUUGUAGGGCUCUAUAUUUAAGUUUCAAAAUCCAAAUUCUGAGAAAUAGGUUAGAGAAAACUGUGGCUUAGCAGUAGUAAGUCUAUCUAUGUCAUUAGUCUGUUUACUUUUCUAUCUAUAAGCUAAAAGAGAGACACACUUAAGGUCUUAAGUUAUGAGUAAGCAUUAUUUAGAUCAUUGGAAAUAUGUGGUUACAAAGGUACUAAGAUUUGGGCAGAACACAAUGAAGUAUUUAUAUUUGCAAUAGUCCCAUUGUACCCAAAACUGAUCAGACAAAUCUGGGAAUAUUUUGUACAAUUCUGGGUACCAGGUUUUUGGAAGAAAAGAGACAAAUUAGAAUAUUAGACAAGAGUAAGAACAUCAGUAACAAAUGUCAUUGAAUAUGGAUCAAAUCUGUGGUAAGCUUUAAUGAAGAUUACAGCCCACUGUGGAUGGUAUCACUCUUACCUCAGGUUAGGAGAUACAAAUAACAUCCUCAUAACCAUAUGAAGAAGAAGUACUGGUACAGGAUUUGAGUCUAGAAGUCUAAACUAACUCCAGAACUGAUGCUGUUAGUUUCACACCAUUCUUAUUCUUUUUGUAUGUGACAUAUAUUAUAGAGAUUCAGCUGUGAGGGUAGCUGAGAAAUGAGGGGCUUUUUAGCUUAGAAUAGAAAAGACACAGGGGAAAAGCUGACAGGCACCAUCAAAUUUGUGAAGGUCUUUUAAGGUCAAUGGGAUGAAACUGCAGAUAGAUUACUGUUAAAUAAAAGUGGCCAGUCACAGGUGAGAGAGAGAGAGAAAAGUUCUAUCACAGUGGAGAAAUAGCAUCAGGUCUGCAGCAUAAUUUAAAGAUUAUCAGCCUGGGCUUUUGCAUCAAGUGACACACUAUAUCUACUAUAUUAUAAUUUACUAGCCUUGCAAUCUUGUCAAGAGAUUUUAAGUAUUUAAGCCAAUUUUUCUUCUCUAAAAUAAGUAAAAUACUAUAUGUCUGAGAUAAUUACACACAAAAUUCCCUCAAAUCAUGAAAAGUUCAAUAAGUGUUAAUCCAACAGUAGCAUUUGAAUUUGAAAGUCCAUAAUAAAUGAGAGAUUUUAUUACACC
Molecule: long non-coding RNA, 4709 nt
Filed under: Sus scrofa (pig)
Lineage: Eukaryota; Metazoa; Chordata; Mammalia; Artiodactyla; Suidae
Description: lncRNA (ENSSSCG00055026659.1)
Source: RNAcentral